This 445-nucleotide ribosomal RNA is filed under the name uncultured bacterium. RNAcentral describes it as "bacterial SSU rRNA". It matches the Rfam family "Bacterial small subunit ribosomal RNA", at positions 354 to 796 of the family's 1533-position model. The record is from RNAcentral.
GUGAGGAAUAUUGGACAAUGGGCGCAAGCCUGAUCCAGCCAUGCCGCGUGCAGGAUGACGGUCCUAUGGAUUGUAAACUGCUUUUGUACGAGAAGAAACACUGCUUCGUGAAGCAGCUUGACGGUAUCGUAAGAAUAAGGAUCGGCUAACUCCGUGCCAGCAGCCGCGGUAAUACGGAGGAUCCAAGCGUUAUCCGGAAUCAUUGGGUUUAAAGGGUCCGUAGGCGGUUUAGUAAGUCAGUGGUGAAAGCCCAUCGCUCAACGGUGGAACGGCCAUUGAUACUGCUGAACUUGAAUUAUUAGGAAGUAACUAGAAUAUGUAGUGUAGCGGUGAAAUGCUUAGAGAUUACAUGGAAUACCAAUUGCGAAGGCAGGUUACUACUAAUUGAUUGACGCUGAUGGACGAAAGCGUGGGGAGCGAACAGGAUUAGAUACCCUUGUAGUCC